Molecule: ribosomal RNA, 564 nt
Filed under: uncultured bacterium
Lineage: Bacteria
Description: partial 16S ribosomal RNA
Rfam family: Bacterial small subunit ribosomal RNA
Source: RNAcentral
UGGGGAAUAUUGCACAAUGGGCGAAAGCCUGAUGCAGCAACGCCGCGUGAGUGAUGAAGGCCUUCGGGUUGUAAAGCUCUGUCUUUUGGGACGAUAAUGACGGUACCAAAGGAGGAAGCCACGGCUAACUACGUGCCAGCAGCCGCGGUAAUACGUAGGUGGCAAGCGUUGUCCGGAUUUACUGGGCGUAAAGGAUGCGUAGGCGGAUUUUUAAGUGAGAUGUGAAAACCCUAAGCUUAACUUGGGGACUGCAUUUCAUACUGGAAAUCUAGAGUGCGGGAGAGGAGAAUGGAAUUCCUAGUGUAGCGGUGAAAUGCGUAGAGAUUAGGAAGAACACCAGUGGCGAAGGCGAUUCUCUGGACCGUAACUGACGCUGAGGCAUGAAAGCGUGGGUAGCAAACAGGAUUAGAUACCCUGGUAGUCCACGCCGUAAACGAUGAGUACUAGGUGUAGGAGGUAUCGACCCCCUCUGUGCCGCAGUUAACACAAUAAGUACUCCGCCUGGGAAGUACGAUCGCAAGAUUAAAACUCAAAUGAAUUGACGGGGGUCAUAGCUGUUUUCCU